This is a long non-coding RNA of Cyanistes caeruleus (blue tit), 1802 nucleotides long. Lineage: Eukaryota; Metazoa; Chordata; Aves; Passeriformes; Paridae. The record is from Ensembl.
GUGGAGGCCUUCAUGUGGACCUGGUCCCUAAAAGUUUUUGAGGUUUUAAUACCUGUCUUUGCCCUCUUUCACAGUAGAGGGGAACGAAUUAGAAUAGUUAUGGUGCUGGGCUCUGUGAUACUGAUUUAUAGUAAGUUUAUAGAACUACUGAAGUUUCUGUCAGGUAUGUUUGGCUCAUGGUUUCUUCGCCCGACCCUGCCUCCCAGUCCUAGUGGCACAUUUUGGGAGUUUAUUGGUAAUUGCACCCAGUUUGUUAGAGGAAGACCAGGGGAUGAGGCGUUUCAGCCUUUUCUUUCCUUCUUCUCCUUUGAAUCUGUUAUGUCCCUCUUUGAGAAUACCCAGUUUCCCCUGAAUGUUAAGGAUACCACUUUCCUGGUAGUACAGCUGGCUCAGCUGUUAAGCUUCCUCUAUAUAGUCUGUGGCUUCUAUAGGAUGAGGGCUGAGAUAUCCAGAAGAGCCAAUGAGACCCCUGCCCCAGAAGUAGACUCAGGUGUGGGAAAUCCUGAGUGGUGUAGAGAGUGGGAGAGAAUUGGCCGAACUCUGAAGGAAUUUUCUGAUCCCCCAGCCUGGGAAUUUUCACGUGAACAAAUUCAGAACCCAGAUGAAGUAGGGAAAUAUCUGGAAGAGAAUUGCUGUGAUGAUUCUAAAAAGAAAAAUAUCAUUGCAAUAAGCUGGGCCCUAGCGUAUGCUUAUCGCACGGUGCUAGAUACUGUAGGGCAGGCAGAUAAAUCAGCAGCUACCCCAGUGACUCAGGCUAAACCAGACAGUGAGCCUAAGCCAGCAGCCAAACCAGACAGUGAGCCUAAGCCAGUGUCUGUUGCUCCUGCCACGAGAGGCAUGAAAUUCAAAACCAAAACCGAUCGGCCAGUAGAUGAUGAUAAUGGUGAUGCGGGGGAAGGACCCUCAAGACCAGCAACUGACACAAAAUCAGAAAGCACUGGUGAACCUUUCUCCCUGAAGGACCUUCGUGGCCUGAGAAAAGAUUACACUCGACGACCUGAUGAAUCUAUAAUUAGUUGGUUAGUCCGUCUGUGGGAUGCUGCAGGAGAGGCUACAGUUCUGGAUGGCACUGAAGCGAGGCAUCUGGGAUCCCUGUCACACGAUCCGGUUAUUGACCAGGAGAUGAUGAGGGGGGCUGACCCUUAUAGUCUCUGGGAACGGGUCCUAAGAAGUGUGGCACAAAGAUAUCUGUGUGCAGACGAUCUCUAUAUACAGCAAACUCGUUGGAAAACCAUAGAACAAGGGAUUCAGCGCUUGAGAGAAAUGGCAAUAGUAGAGAUUGUCUUUGUGAGUGACUUAGGUACUAGAAAUCCAGACUUGGUGCCAUGCACAUCUGUGAUGUGGCGAAAACUUGUUCGACUUGGGCCACAAGAAUACGCUUCUGCUUUAGCAACAAUGAAGCGGGAUGACCGAGAAGAGACUGUGCUAGAUAUGGCGAAGAAGCUUCGAGCAUAUGCAGAUACCGUGCAUGGCCCCAUGCAGGCAACAAUUGCAGCUAUAGAAACACGUAUGCAAAACUUCCACGACAAAAUAGAGGAGACUCUCAAGAAACUCAGGGAAGACCUUCUUCCAGUCUCAGCAGUACAGACCAGGAGCCCUGGUACUCAACGCAGAAGUUCCCCAGAUAGAGAGAAAAAGCUACGAGCUGAGCUGUAGUUUUUCCUACGUGACUGUGGAGAAAACAUGAAAAGAUGGGAUGGUAAAUCUACUGCUGCUCUGGCAAAACGGAUGCUUGAACUGAAAGACAGCAAGACUCAGGGGGAAUACUCCACCAAAAAGAAAGCCGCUCCAGUAGCCUGUAG